UACGUAGGGUGCGAGCGUUAAUCGGAAUUACUGGGCGUAAAGCGUGCGCAGGCGGUUUUGUAAGCCAGAUGUGAAAGCCCCGGGCUUAACCUGGGAAUGGCAUUUGGGACUGCAAGGCUAGAGUGCGGCAGAGGAGACUGGAAUUCCUGGUGUAGCAGUGAAAUGCGUAGAUAUCAGGAGGAAUACCGAUGGCGAAGGCAGGUCUCUGGGCAGUAACUGACGCUGAGGAGCGAAAGCGUGGGGAGCGAACAGG
This 253-nucleotide ribosomal RNA is filed under the name uncultured bacterium. Its description in RNAcentral is "partial 16S ribosomal RNA". It matches the Rfam family "Bacterial small subunit ribosomal RNA", at positions 524 to 776 of the family's 1533-position model. The record is from RNAcentral.